This 1416-nucleotide long non-coding RNA is filed under the name Homo sapiens (human). RNAcentral describes it as "HSALNT0187536". The record is from RNAcentral. Lineage: Eukaryota; Metazoa; Chordata; Mammalia; Primates; Hominidae.
CCGGGUCACACCCUGAUCCAAGCUGGAGUGCAGUGGCCCUAUCAACUCACUGCAGCCUCGACCUCCUGGGCUCAAGGGAUCUUACUGCCUCAGCCCCACCACUAGCUGGAACUACAGGCCCAUGCCACCACACUCAGCUAAUUAGUAUUUCAUAAUCUAACAUACUGAGAGAUGACAACGUGCUAGCAGCCCUUGCUCGCUCUCAGCGCCUCCUCCGCCUCGGCGUCCGCUCUGGCCGCACUCGAGGAGGCCCUUCAGCCCGCCACUGCGCUAUGAGGGCCCCUCUCUGGGGCUGGCCGAGGCCUGAGCCGGCUCCCUCUGCUCUCGCGGAAGUGUGAAGAGAGAGGCGCUGCAAGAGCCAGGGGUGCGCGCGGCGCUCGCGGGUCGGCGCGAGUUCCAGGUGAGCGCGGGCUCGGCAAGCCCCGCACUCGGCGCGACCGGCUGGCGCCUGCUGGGUUUGAUCGGGGGGACGAGUUCCCUCUGGGCUGCCAGAGUGCCCGGGCUACGUGCCGCAAAGUCCCGCAGCGGUGAGUGCCAUUGAGAGGUGAAGCUGGCUGGGCUUCUGGGUGGGGUGGGGACUUGAGAACUUUUCUGUCUAGCUAAAGGAUUGUAAAUGCACCAAUCAGCACUCUGUGUCUGCCUAAAGGUUUGUAAACGCACCAAUCAGCACUCUGUCAAAACGGACCAAUCAGCGCUCUGUAAAGCGGACCAAUCAGCUCUCUGUAAAAUGGACCAAUCAACAGGAUGUGGGUGGGGCCAAAUAAAGGAAUAAAAGCAGGCCACCGCUAGUAGCAGCAAUCGGCUCGGUCCACUUUUAGGUAGUAGAGGUUUUGUUCUUUUGCUCUUCGCAAUAAAUCUUACUGCUGUUCAGUCUUUGGGUCUGCUGCUGUGUUUAAGCUGUAACAUUCACUGGGAAGGUCUGUAGCUUCACUCCGGGAGCCAGGGGGGCUACAAACCCACCAGAAAGAAUAAACUCCAGACACAUCUGAACAUAGGAAAGAAAAGACUCCGGACACACAGUGUGUAAGAACUGUAAUAUUCACUGUGAGGGUCCAGGGCCUCAAGACCAAGAACCCAACAAUUCCGGAUACAAUACUAUGAUAGUUAUAUAAUUAUCAUGCAACUCUUUUCUGUUCGUUUAUUUGAGACAGAGUCUCCGUCUGUUGCCAAGGCUGGAGUGCAGUGGUGCGAUCCCGGCUCACUGCAACCCCCCGCCCCCCCGGUUCAAGGGAUUCACUUGUUUCAGCCUCCCCGAGUAGCUGGGAUUAGGGGUGCACGCCACCACGCCCAGCUGCUUUUUUUUUCAGGACCUCAGGUGAUCUGCCCACCUCAGGCUCCCAAAGUGCUGGGAUUACAGUUGUGAGCCACUGCACCCAGCCACUAAUAUUAUUUUUAAUAACAGUACCUAGAUAAUUG